UGGGGAAUUGUUCGCAAUGGGCGCAAGCCUGACGACGCAACGCCGCGUGGAGGACGAAGAUCUUCGGGUCGUAAACUCCUUUCGAUCGGGAAGAACGUUUCGGGGGUGAAUAAUCCCCGGAAGUGACGGUACCGAGAGAAGAAGCCCCGGCUAACUCUGUGCCAGCAGCCGCGGUAAUACAGGGGGGGCAAGCGUUGUUCGGAAUUACUGGGCGUAAAGGGCCAGUAGGCGGCCAACUAAGUCCGACGUGAAAUCCCAAGGCUUAACCUUGGAACUGCGUCGGAUACUGAUUGGCUUGAAUUCGGGAGAGGGAUGCAGAAUUCCAGGUGUAGCGGUGAAAUGCGUAGAUAUCUGGAGGAAUACCGGUGGCGAAGGCGGCAUCCUGGACCGACAUUGACGCUGAACGGCGAAAGCUAGGGGAGCAAA
RNAcentral lists this ribosomal RNA (426 nucleotides) under uncultured bacterium. RNAcentral describes it as "bacterial SSU rRNA". It matches the Rfam family "Bacterial small subunit ribosomal RNA", at positions 355 to 772 of the family's 1533-position model. The record is from RNAcentral.